CUUAUAUGAACAAAUCAUGUCAUUUUUUUUUUGGUUUACAAAUGCUGCCAAUGAAGAUUAAAUUUUUAUUACAUUAUAAAGUAGUUAAAUUUUUUAGUUUUGUUUCUUACAUACAAAAUAGGAAACAAUGUCUAAAACGCUUGUGUUUAUUUAUGCUAUUACUCUCGUCCUUUCUCUGUUUCUUGUAUCCUGCAACGGUAAAUCAUUCUCCUAAUUCUUUACAAAUUUUGUUUCUUCUUACCUUAUAGUAUUCAAUAUUUCACGCUCACAACAAACAUUCAUUUAUUUGUAUGUCACAGAUUCUGAGUCAAAAAAUAAUAUGAUAGACUCAACUCAUAUCUGCAAUUUUGACUCUGAUUGUCACAGUUUACCAUGUGGCCCCGUUACAACUGGGAGAUGUAUUGAGUAUGGGUGUGAAUGUGUGUUCUAAUUGAAAAAAAAAAUUUUAUGUUGAUUUUAUAUCUAUAAUUUGAUCUUCAAAGUAGCCGUAAUAUCGUUACUUUAUAUUAU
RNAcentral lists this long non-coding RNA (510 nucleotides) under Trifolium pratense (red clover). RNAcentral describes it as "long non-coding RNA (TPRA_LNC005568)". Lineage: Eukaryota; Viridiplantae; Streptophyta; Magnoliopsida; Fabales; Fabaceae. The record is from RNAcentral.